This 468-nucleotide ribosomal RNA is filed under the name uncultured bacterium. RNAcentral's name for it is "partial 16S ribosomal RNA". It matches the Rfam family "Bacterial small subunit ribosomal RNA", at positions 28 to 507 of the family's 1533-position model. The record is from RNAcentral.
GACGAACGCUGGCGGCGUGCUUAACACAUGCAAGUCGAACGGAAAGGCCCUGCUUUUGUGGGGUGCUCGAGUGGCGAACGGGUGAGUAACACGUGAGUAACCUGCCCUUGACUUUGGGAUAACUUCAGGAAACUGGGGCUAAUCCCGGAUAGGAGCUCCUGCUGCAUGGUGGGGGUUGGAAAGUUUCGGCGGUUGGGGAUGGACUCGCGGCUUAUCAGCUUGUUGGUGGGGUAGUGGCUUACCAAGGCUUUGACGGAUAGCCGGCCUGAGAGGGUGACCGGCCACAUUGGGACUGAGAGACGGCCCAGACUCCUACGGGAGGCAGCAGUGGGGAAUAUUGCACAAUGGGCGGGAGCCUGAUGCAGCAGCGCCGCGUGCGGGAUGACGGCCUUCGGGGUGUAAACCGCUUUCGCCUGUGACGAAGCGUGAGUGACGGUAAUGGGUAAAGAAGCACCGGCUAACUACGUG